RNAcentral lists this long non-coding RNA (199 nucleotides) under Elaeis guineensis (African oil palm). RNAcentral describes it as "long non-coding RNA (EGUI_LNC076022)". The record is from RNAcentral. Lineage: Eukaryota; Viridiplantae; Streptophyta; Magnoliopsida; Arecales; Arecaceae.
ACCUGUAUGCCAUACCAGUAUCUCCACACUCCUUGGUUAAGAGGACAACCAACCCAUAUGGCCUACAGCGACCUAUGCUCGAUAGAAGCUGUCGUCCUUAUUAACAGCCUAUCAUUUGGUCGUGAACAGUUUUAAGGACUAAUCGAUAAAUCCUUUCUUUAUCGAACUUAAAUAGUCCUAAGGACUUCAUCAUAACAAC